RNAcentral lists this long non-coding RNA (341 nucleotides) under Citrus maxima (pomelo). RNAcentral describes it as "long non-coding RNA (CMAX_LNC000658)". Lineage: Eukaryota; Viridiplantae; Streptophyta; Magnoliopsida; Sapindales; Rutaceae. The record is from RNAcentral.
AAUAUAUUACAAAGACAAUCAUGGCCGCUGCCAUCGUCGUCGUCGUCGCCGCCGCCGCCACCACUCUGACUGCUUAUUAGCCACUGCCGCUGUCAUCCACAGGUAUGUGUCUACAUAUAUAAUUUUCUUUUUUAAAAAAAAGCUUAAUUGAUCUAUGUAUUUACCUUAGUAAAGCCAGUUUAUUAUUUUUUAAUUUUACUGAUUAGUUUUAGUACCGGCUUCGACAAGGUAGGAAAAAAAAUUUUGAUCACGCAACAGCAGAUACUCCUCAGCCAAAUGGUAAUUUUUUAUUCAUUGUUUUCUUUUUGAAGUGCUAUAUUUUUAUUUAUACUUUUGUCAAU